Acipenser ruthenus (sterlet) is the source of this 831-nucleotide long non-coding RNA. RefSeq lists it as uncharacterized. Lineage: Eukaryota; Metazoa; Chordata; Actinopteri; Acipenseriformes; Acipenseridae. The record is from RefSeq and is a predicted model, not a curated record. The transcript is spliced from 2 exons.
CAAAUAUAGCGUGAGGUAGCACUUGGAGGUCCUUCUUAAACAGGCAGUACAGUAUGAAGAAUACACAAUAUGCAACCUGGACUGCAGACCAACUGGACAUUUCCAUUGUAUCAGUUGUUCAGACACUGAUAAGGAGGCAAGAUAUAUUAAAUUACCUUUCGGUCUGCCAUCAAAAGCAGGCUCAGUCCCAACAAUGCUCCAUCACUGGAACCAAUCCCUUCCACAACCCACAGCACACCCUCAUUGCAGUUGCAGGCACCCUGUACAAGAGGUCACUUCUGUUCCUCUUAAGGCCACACAUUUACAUUAGAGAACAACUGUAAGUGUGAUGUGCCCGCAUUGCAAAAUUAUUUUAAACAGAAAAAACCUUCAAUGACAAAUCCAGAGAAAACACAUGGACACAAGAUUGAAAGACAUAACAGUUAUGUUAAAUCUCCCCAGCCAGUGUCUUGAUGACAUACAUGGCAUAUUUGCUGUUGGCAAAUAAUUUUAUGGCCCAUGUGUGCCACUUCAAUUACAGAAAAAAACUUGGGGCAUGAAUCAGCAGGUUGUGUGUGAAUCAGGUGACUGUUGGCAAAACCAACAUUUGCUAUUAGGAGUGGUUUGAGGACAUUCCAAUGCAACCAUGUGAGAUCUUUGGACUACUGCACCUCUGAAUAAGCAUGUUUUGAAUAAGGUUCUGACUGAAAUGCUCCAAAGAAAGUGGUUUGGUGAAAACAGAAAACAAGAGUGCCUAACAGGGACACUAUUUUUCAUGAAAACAGGGUCACAGUCCAUCUUUUUUUAUUUUGUUAUGUAUAUAAAAUGUUCAAUAAAGUUUUCCACUUUGAA